AACCUACGGGACGCAGCAGUAGGGAAUUUUCGUCAAUGGGCGCAAGCCUGAACGAGCGAUGCCGCGUGAGUGAAGAAGGCCUUCGGGUCGUAAAGCUCUGUUGCGGGGGAAAAAAGGCAGCAUCAGGAAAUGGGUGCUGACUGAUGGUGCCCCGCCAGAAAGUCACGGCUAACUACGUGCCAGCAGCCGCGGUAAUACGUAGGUGGCAAGCGUUGUCCGGAUUUAUUGGGCGUAAAGCGAGUGCAGGCGGUUCAAUAAAGCUGAUGUGAAAGCCUUCGGCUCCACCGGAGAAUUGCA
Molecule: ribosomal RNA, 297 nt
Filed under: uncultured bacterium
Lineage: Bacteria
Description: partial 16S ribosomal RNA
Rfam family: Bacterial small subunit ribosomal RNA
Source: RNAcentral